Caretta caretta (loggerhead turtle) is the source of this 2269-nucleotide long non-coding RNA. RefSeq lists it as uncharacterized. The record is from RefSeq and is a predicted model, not a curated record. Lineage: Eukaryota; Metazoa; Chordata; Testudines; Cheloniidae.
CACCUCCAUUUCCUCUUACUCAAAUUAGCACUGCGUUAAUUAACACUGUAGUCCAUCAACGGGCGUUUCUCUGUACAGUACAGGAGCAGAGCUUAUAUAGACAAACCAAACCACAUAUAAAAAGCACCUACCAAAACUCUUCAUCAUGUACAAAAUGGGAAGCGCACGUCUGAGUGACCGAGGGCAAGAUUCAGAUUAAGAAGAAGGAUCACAAGGGAUGGCAAUCAUCAAGAAAUGAAUAGAAGACGGCUUGUGACUGAUGUAGAGAAGAAUGACUGAACUGACUGUUUGGAAUUAUUCUGGAAUUAGACUAGAAUGAGGUCUCCUCUCUGCCCAUCUAAGCUAAUAAACCUUCAGAUAGUUUAUUAUGGAAUUGGCUCCAAGGGCUGUCUUUGGUGUGAGAUCUAAAGUAAACUUGACCUGGGUCUGCCCCGAGGUUGGUAGUCGUACUCUUGAGCCACUGCAGGACAACUCGACACAUGGUAUGCUACAUGAUGAUGAAGUUUCUUAAACUCUUUUAUGGAGUCUGGUUAGCAAUUACAUGGAUUUUUGAGGAACAAUUCCAGAGCUUUGACUGAAUGAAAUAUACUGAAACCAAAAAGAAAAGCUUGGUCUUGAUUAUCUAUAUUACAGAUUAGCUUGAAGGAAAUAAUUAUUACCAAUCUGUACCAUAACAGCUGUACUUAACUGCAAUGUGACAUUUAAGGUCUGUGGAGCAGGAGAUGUCUUUUUGUUCUGGGCCUGCAUAGCAUGCAGCACAAUGAGGUUCUAAUCCGUGAUUGGGGAUCCUAGAUGGUCCCAUAAAAUAAACAAUAUUAUAUUAAUAAUAAUAUUUCUAUUAUUCUAUUUGGAUUGUUGCUUUAAUUUUAUUUUUGAAGGUUUAUCUUUAGCUCUUGGAGCUAAACUGUCAAAGGCUCAUUCAUCAGGCCACUCCCAAACCAUAUAUAGUCCUAUGGCCUGAUUCUCAUCUUGUAGAAAUGUAAGGCCCCAGUCUGGUAGUCAAAUCUGUGUGAGCAGUACCUGGGGACUGUGCAGAGCCCACUGACUUCAGUGCAGGUCCAGGCAGGCAUAAAUGUCAGCCCACACAGCUCUGAUUGCAGGAAAGCAGCCUUCAAACAGAAGUGACUCUGCAGAAGUCAGAUGCAGUUAGACCUAGGUAAAACAGCGAUGUAAGCAAAAGGAGAAUAGGACCCAAAACACACUUGCAUAUGCACAUUCAACCAAAGAAAUAAAACACCUGCACAUGUAACCCAAACACCUCCUGGGUGUGCUGUUCUGUCCCAUCUAGUGGCACUGAGACCACUUAAAGAGAGAGGUAAAAUCAGCCUGCUGUUUUAAAAUGAGUCUGCCAGUUGGCUUUUAGCUCAUGCAUUAGAAGGCUCAUGCACUAAGCUCCAUAGGUCCCCGGUUCAAUCCAUAACCAGGGUCUAUCGGCGUUACACACCCAUAUGCAGAUGAGGGCUUUGCAGGUGCAACGGGUGGUGCACAUUUUGUAUCCUUCACCUCUUGCACUGGGCUUUGAAAAUAUGGCCAUUUUAAUCAGUCCAGUUGUUUACAGCCAUCUCUUAGGUGUAAUGAACAAAUAGAUAGCAAGGACAUUGAAGUUGGUUUAUUAGAAACCUUUUCAUUUUUUAUAAUUUUAAAAUGGAAAUCAACAGGGAAAAUACCAGAUUCAUUGCUAAUAGGUGAAGUGUGACUUUUCCAAUAUGUUAAGAUUAUAUUUUAUUAGUUCAAGAAAAAUAUGGUUAUAGAAAAUUAAUAUUUACCACUCCUUAAAAGAUUUUGCAGAAUUUUCUGUCUUCUCUCUGUUUCUUUCGCAUUAUAUUUUCCCUUUUCUGAUAUUUAUGCUUUUUGUUUCACAUGUUCAGCAAUCACAAUAUAUCUCUUAUACUCAUGGUUUUCAAUCAAAAUAUAUUUAAAAUUGCAUUUAAUAAAUACCUUUAACAUAGUAUCAACAGCAUUUUAUUUUUGUUGAUAUUUCUGGCUUCACUAUAUGUCAAAAUGUAAUUGGUUUAUUAAGGACCAAUCCUACAUUCCUAAUUCAAGAUAAAACUUCCACUGAAAUCAAUGGGAAGUCAAUUGUCUUGGUAUGGAUUUCAAAGUUGAGCCUUUAGCUUAGUUUUAUGAGUGUAACAGAGCCUUAAAUAUUUUUUCUUACCAUUGUCUGGCAGAACAUUUUUUCCACCAGUCUAGUUUAACUGGUGGUGUAAUUAAUAUGUAUAAUUCCAAAUUUUGUAAUAAAAUAAACUGCAUAUGUUGUUAAGACAAA